UGGGCGGGAAUAUGGAAAAGCGCGUCCCUUUCCCAACCAGUCACUGGAGUGCGUGAUGACGAACGGUUUGUCUGUUUUGCAGAACACUGGGCUAUUCGGCAUAGUCGUUGAUUCUUUCGACGCACGCAAUAUUAAGAUAUACUGCAUGGUUUAACAAUUGUGUGGAUUAUUGCUGCACAAAGAAAUAUCGACCAUAGACUGGAGAAAAUACAUUUGCAAACAUGCGAAGAUAGUCGACACACAGAGGCAGGAUCACUACAUGCGAUGGAUGACGAGCCUGUGACAAUGUCAGUGCAGAGAAAAGCGUUAUAAGCCCAGUUUUGGUUCUUUUGAAAUAUUUGAUGAUAUAAUUACGCCUUUGUUAACAACAUUUUGUUUAGCGUAAUGUUUUUCAAUUUUAUGCUUCUUACGAAUUCUGGUUUUGACAACCGGUGUUGCAGAGUCAACACAUAACCGAUUUGUACCAAGUUCAUUGUACAGAAGAGAACUGGGUAAUAAUGAUAUCAUUCAACUUUAUGGUUUUUUCAAUUUUACUGCUUUAUGAUUAACAUAACUGAGCCUAUCGGCAAGUUCAAUAGGAGUUUAUUUGUGUUUUAAAUCAUGUGCCGGACGUGCAUAUACCGUGUGAAACUGCGCUGUAUUUUUUAUUUAUUUAUUUUGCUGCCUUGUUUCGUUUAUUUUGUUUUUUUAUUUGCCUUUUUGUCAUUUUUCUGGUGUUCAGCGUUGGUAGUCAGCAAGAGAUGCAGCGGGAUAAGUCGUUAUGCAGAUAUUAAAAGCAGCAUCAGAUCGGAGGUAAAGUUAUGUAUUGUACGGGUCAGAUCGAAAGAUACUCGGGGCAAGGUGCCAUUAUUUUCGAAACGACUCCUAUUAGGGCAAUUAUUAAAAUAUUUGUUUAAUCUAAGAAAGCGACCCAAAAACUUCGACCUGAUGGACUUUAUUUCAUGACCCAACUGUAAUGUAUUUUUGUACAUUAUAUGUAUUCAGUGGAAAAUUUAAUUUUUGACGUUUAACUCCAAAUACCUUUGGGACUCCUUGAUUCCAGUGUUCAACUCUCAAAAAUCAAACUUUUGUAUAUUGGGAAAUUCUAAUAAUGACUCCAACAACAAUUUGAGAACUGACUUAAAAGUAAGUUUUUCAAUAUUGCUA
Molecule: non-coding RNA, 1146 nt
Organism: Styela clava
Lineage: Eukaryota; Metazoa; Chordata; Ascidiacea; Stolidobranchia; Styelidae
Source: RefSeq, a predicted model, not a curated record